GACGAACGCUGGCGGCGUGCUUAACACAUGCAAGUCGAACGGUAAGGCCCUUCGGGGUACACGAGUGGCGAACGGGUGAGUAACACGUGGGUGAUCUGCCCUGCACUUCGGGAUAAGCCUGGGAAACUGGGUCUAAUACCGGAUAGGACCCUGGGAUGCAUGUCCUGGGGUGGAAAGCUUUUGCGGUGUGGGAUGGGCCCGCGGCCUAUCAGCUUGUUGGUGGGGUGAUGGCCUACCAAGGCGACGACGGGUAGCCGGCCUGUGAGGGUGACCGGCCACACUGGGACUGAGAUACGGCCCAGACUCCUACGGGAGGCAGCAGUGGGGAAUAUUGCACGAUGGGCGCAAGCCUAAUGCAGCGACGCCGCGUGAGGGAUGACGGCCUUCGGGUUGUAAACCUCUUUCAGCACCGACGAAGCGCAAGUGACGGUAGGUGCAGAAGAAGGACCGGCCAACUACGUGCCAGCAGCCGCCGUAA
This 478-nucleotide ribosomal RNA is filed under the name uncultured bacterium. RNAcentral's name for it is "partial 16S ribosomal RNA". It matches the Rfam family "Bacterial small subunit ribosomal RNA", at positions 28 to 523 of the family's 1533-position model. The record is from RNAcentral.